CAAAACGAAGAGAACGGUGAGGGACCAUCAACAAAGUCGUGUCCAAAUAAAUGCACCCCCUCCUUUUCAAUAUAAGCAUGCUUGUGGUGCUUUUUCCUGACCACUUCAGCAAAUGGUAAAACAUAAGUGUACUCGUGUAGACGAAGAAUUCUCGUUAAAUCUUACACCGACUGUUACCAAAAAAAUAGCACGAGACCAAAGAGAUUCAAUGAGGAGCAAACACAUGCCGUACGCUCAGGUGACCAUGGCAGUCCGGUACAAUGGUUUGUCACACUGCAAGAUUGCUCUGGUGUUUGCAGUGCUGAUGGACCUAAUGGGGGCAACGGCCUUGCUCUUGGGAGUUUUUGCCCCCCUGGAGAUAAAGGGCCGGGAUUUUGGGGACCUGC
Molecule: long non-coding RNA, 386 nt
Organism: Anguilla rostrata (American eel)
Lineage: Eukaryota; Metazoa; Chordata; Actinopteri; Anguilliformes; Anguillidae
Exons: 2
Source: RefSeq, a predicted model, not a curated record